GCUACGUGCAGAAUCCGUCUAGCUAAAAUGUAAUUUCAGAUUGGACAAGUACUGUGGAGGAACUGCAAUGUCUGGUGAACAGAAACCAGAGAGGUACUAUGUGGGUGUGGACGUUGGAACAGGCAGUGUCCGUGCAGCUCUGGUGGACCAGAGUGGGGUCCUGUUGGCUUUUGCAGACCAGCCAAUUAAGAAGUGGGAGCCCCAGUUCAACCAUCAUGAGCAGUCCUCCGAGGACAUCUGGGCUGCAUGCUGUGUUGUCACAAAGGUAGUGAUGGAGCCUGAGGGAACUGGUGAUUGCAUAACUCCUCAUAGGCCCCCAAAGCUGACAAAGGCAUUCAAAUCAAGAUUUAAAAGAAUACAGUACCAGCCACUCAGAACUCUACUGCAAGCUGGAUUGUGUCCAUGAAGCCCCAGGCUUUGACCCUUGCUCUAAAUAGAGCUAAGGAUAAAACCAGAAAGUUGUACAAGGGAUUGAUUUAAACCAAAUUCGAGGACUUGGGUUUGAUGCCACGUGUUCUCUGGUUGUUUUGGAUAAGCAGUUUCACCCAUUACCGGUCAACCAGGAAGGGGAUUCCCAUCGAAACGUCAUCAUGUGGCUGGAUCAUCGAGCAGUCAUUCAAGUCAACAGGAUCAAUGAGACCAAGCACAGUGUCCUCCAGUAUGUCGGCGGGGUGAUGUCUGUGGAAAUGC
This 690-nucleotide small RNA is filed under the name Pongo abelii (Sumatran orangutan). RNAcentral describes it as "processed transcript". The record is from RNAcentral. Lineage: Eukaryota; Metazoa; Chordata; Mammalia; Primates; Hominidae.